GAUGAACGCUGGCGGUAUGCUUAACACAUGCAAGUCGAACGGACUCUUCGGAGUUAGUGGCGGACGGGUGAGUAACGCGUGAGAAUCUGGCUUUGGGUUCGGGACAACCACUGGAAACGGUGGCUAAUACCGGAUGUGCCGAGAGGUAAAAGAGAAAUUGCCUGAAGAUGAGCUCGCGUCUGAUUAGCUAGUUGGUGAGGUAAAGGCUCACCAAGGCAGCGAUCAGUAGCUGGUCUGAGAGGAUGACCAGCCACACUGGGACUGAGACACGGCCCAGACUCCUACGGGAGGCAGCAGUGGGGAAUUUUCCGCAAUGGGCGAAAGCCUGACGGAGCAAUACCGCGUGAGGGAAGAAGGCUCUUGGGUUGUAAACCUCUUUUCUUAGGGAAGAACAAAAUGACGGUACCUAAGGAAUCAGCAUCGGCUAACCCCGUG
RNAcentral lists this ribosomal RNA (435 nucleotides) under uncultured bacterium. RNAcentral describes it as "partial 16S ribosomal RNA". It matches the Rfam family "Bacterial small subunit ribosomal RNA", at positions 28 to 507 of the family's 1533-position model. The record is from RNAcentral.